ACCUGCGGAAGGAUCAUUAUUGAACUAAGUCGGAUUCGAUGCUGGCCCUUAACCCGGGCAUGUGCUCGUCCUUCAUUUUUCUAACCUUCUUUAUGUGCACAUUUGUAUGCCCCUGAGUAACGAGCGCCUCUCGCAGCAAUGCGGUUUGCUUGGGACUGACGGCCUGGUCGUCUUUCCUGCAAUGCUCUCUGGGGGCUACGUUUUUAUAUACAAGUCAGUUAUAGAAUGUCUUUUAAUGACUGUUGCCUAGCGCAUGGUCUUAAACAAUUACAACUUUCAGCAACGGAUCUCUUGGCUCUCCCAUCGAUGAAGAACGCAGCGAAAUGCGAUAAGUAAUGUGAAUUGCAGAAUUCAGUGAAUCAUCGAAUCUUUGAACGCACCUUGCGCCCUUUGGUAUUCCGAAGGGCAUGCCUGUUUGAGUGUCAUUAAAUUAUCAACCUUGCUUGCUUUUACCGGCUUGAGCUGAGGCUUGGACGUGGGGGUUUUUGCUGGCUUCCUUCAGUGGAUGGUCUGCUCCCCUUAAAUUCAUUAGUGGGAUCUCUUGUGGACCGUCACUUGGUGUGAUAAUUAUCUAUGCCGUUUGACCUUGAAGCAAAUUUAUGGGACCCGGCUUAUAACCGUCUCUUACCGGGACAAUUUAAUAACAUCUUGACCUCAAAUCAGGUAGGACUACCCGCUGAACUUAAGCAUAUCAAUAAGCGGAGGAAAAGAAACUAACAAGGAUUCCCCUAGUAACUGCGAGUGAAGCGGGAAAAGCUCAAAUUUAAAAUCUGGCGGUCCUU
Molecule: ribosomal RNA, 782 nt
Filed under: Mycena angusta
Lineage: Eukaryota; Fungi; Basidiomycota; Agaricomycetes; Agaricales; Mycenaceae
Description: eukaryotic LSU rRNA
Rfam family: 5.8S ribosomal RNA (bases 272-425)
Source: RNAcentral